RNAcentral lists this transfer RNA (72 nucleotides) under Sphingomonas jatrophae. It matches the Rfam family "tRNA". Rfam says of the family: Transfer RNA (tRNA) molecules are approximately 80 nucleotides in length. Their secondary structure includes four short double-helical elements and three loops (D, anti-codon, and T loops). Lineage: Bacteria; Pseudomonadati; Pseudomonadota; Alphaproteobacteria; Sphingomonadales; Sphingomonadaceae. The record is from Rfam by way of RNAcentral.
UGGGGCGUCGCCAAGCGGUAAGGCACCGGUUUUUGGUACCGGCAUUCGGAGGUUCGAAUCCUCCCGCCCCAG